AUUAACGCAAAAAAUCUUCGCUGGCUCUGAUAGUCUCGGCUGCCAUAUUUGGACAUGGCGUUUUUUUGUUUUUCUUUUUUUGCAUUUUCUCUCUUUCGCCUCGUGCAUAAUGUGCUGAGUUGCAGCUGUGAGGUCCAGCAGGCAGUGAGAAGAUGAGAAGUCCCAUAGUGAAGGAGGAUUAGCGUGCUUCUUCUCUGGCUUUCCAAGUAAAGUUCUGUGAUACACUCCGACUCUUAAUUGUUUGCAGUCAGUGCAUUACAGAACUUUGUUUUGAGAGUUUAAAGCUCUGGCCUGGAGGGAUCAAACUAUUACAUCUGGAGGGAGGGAUAACCACCCCACACAAGCCCCCUAGCAGCACUUAGCUCCAUCUCUCCCUUGCGGAUCACACACAAAUAAAACUGCUCAUUGUGACUGUCUUCCUUGAUAUCUCACUCAGUAGUUUGUAACAUCUGCGAUACAGUAACAUAAAAUAAAGAAAAGGCAUGUAAAGCACUGGCAAAGGUUUUGUAUUAGUAUGUAUACAAAUUAAUUAGCCAACAGUUUUCAAACAUAUCAUGUUCAUUUUGAUGUGACCAUAUUGCAGCCACCAGCAUAACUUCCAGUGGCCUUGUGUCUACAGAAAUAUACAUCAAGAAAACCAUAAAACAAUCAACUUGAGGAGUGUGUUGUGUCUAGUUGUGAGAAUUACCCUUCACCAGUCACUAUUCAACGUGUAAAGCAAAGCCCUGUAGUCUAAAGCUAUUAAAAUGGAGAGUGUGAGGUUUGGUGGGAGUUGUUACACAGUCAGACCCACAGGAGGCACACUACAGACUUAGUUGAUCUGAGAACAGUUUUGCCAUUUGACUUAAAUGGCUAAGGUGAACAUUUGGAUAAAUGGAGCUGCUCCUGUAACAGUGUCAAAGAUCAACUUCUACCCAGACUAGCACUUACCUGGCUUUCUGCUGAGGGUGUAUGACUCUACAGAAGAACAUAGGUAACAGGAGUAGAAGUAGGUUGCCACACCUCCCAGGCUUAACAUACUCAACCCACAUUGCAGUUCC
Pygocentrus nattereri (red-bellied piranha) is the source of this 1040-nucleotide long non-coding RNA. Lineage: Eukaryota; Metazoa; Chordata; Actinopteri; Characiformes; Serrasalmidae. The record is from Ensembl.